UACGUAGGGGGCAAGCGUUGUCCGGAUUUAUUGGGCGUAAAGCGCGUGUAGGCGGUUUGGUAGGUCCGCUGUGAAAACUCGAGGCUCAACCUCGAGACGCCGGUGGAAACCAUCAGGCUAGAGUCCGGAAGAGGAGAGUGGAAUUCCUGGUGUAGCGGUGAAAUGCGCAGAUAUCAGGAAGAACACCCGUGGCUAAGGCGGCUCUCUAGUACGGUACUGACGCUGAGACGCGAAAGCGUGGGGAGCGAACAGG
This 253-nucleotide ribosomal RNA is filed under the name uncultured bacterium. RNAcentral describes it as "partial 16S ribosomal RNA". It matches the Rfam family "Bacterial small subunit ribosomal RNA", at positions 524 to 776 of the family's 1533-position model. The record is from RNAcentral.